UAUUACGAUAAUAGGGCAUCCUAUAAUUAUGACAGCUACAUGCGCUGCGAGAGAGCUUUGCGUCCCAUUAGCCUAGUUGGAGAGGUAACGGCUCACCAAGGCGAUGAUGGGUAGCCGGCCUGAGAGGGUGAUCGGCCACAAGGGGACUGAGACACGGCCCUUACUCCUACGGGAGGCAGCACUGGGGAAUAUUGGACAAUGGACCGAGAGUCUGAUCCAGCAAUUCUGUGUGCACGAUGAAGUUUUUCGGAAUGUAAAGUGCUUUCAGUUGGGAAGAAAGAAAUGACGGUACCAACAGAAGAAGUGACGGCUAAAUACGUGCCAGCAGCCGCGGUAAUACGUAUGUCACGAGCGUUAUCCGGAUUUAUUGGGCGUAAAGCGCGUCUAGGUGGUUAUAUAAGUCUGAUGUGAAAAUGCAGGGCUCAACUCUGUAUUGCGUUGGAAACUGUAUAACUAGAGUACUGGAGAGGUAAGCGGAACUACAAGUGUAGAGGUGAAAUUCGUAGAUAUUUGUAGGAAUGCCGAUGGGGAAGCCAGCUUACUGGACAGAUACUGACGCUGAAGCGCGAAAGCGUGGGUAGCAAACAGGAUUAGAUACCCUGGUAGUCCACGCUGUAAACGAUGAUUACUAGGUGUUGGGGGUCGAACCUCAGCGCCCAAGCAAACGCGAUAAGUAUCCGCUGGGGAGUACGUACGCAAGUAUG
RNAcentral lists this ribosomal RNA (704 nucleotides) under uncultured Fusobacteriota bacterium. RNAcentral's name for it is "bacterial SSU rRNA". It matches the Rfam family "Bacterial small subunit ribosomal RNA", at positions 173 to 896 of the family's 1533-position model. The record is from RNAcentral. Lineage: Bacteria; Fusobacteriati; Fusobacteriota.